This 433-nucleotide ribosomal RNA is filed under the name uncultured bacterium. Its description in RNAcentral is "partial 16S ribosomal RNA". It matches the Rfam family "Bacterial small subunit ribosomal RNA", at positions 29 to 507 of the family's 1533-position model. The record is from RNAcentral.
AACGAACGCUGGCGGCAUGCCUAACACAUGCAAGUCGAACGAGACCUUCGGGUCUAGUGGCGCACGGGUGCGUAACGCGUGGGAACCUGCCCUUAGGUUCGGAAUAACUCCCCGAAAGGGGUGCUAAUACCGGAUAAUGUCUUCGGACCAAAGAUUUAUCGCCUUUGGAUGGGCCCGCGUUGGAUUAGCUAGUUGGUAGGGUAAAAGCCUACCAAGGCGACGAUCCAUAGCUGGUCGGAGAGGAUGAUCAGCCACACUGGGACUAAGACACGGCCCAGACUCCUACGGGAGGCAGCAGUGGGGAAUAUUGGACAAUGAGCGAAAGCCUGAUCCAGCAAUGCCGCGGGAGUGAUGAAGGCCUUAGGGUUGUAAAGCUCUUUUACCCGGGAUGAUAAUGACAGUACCGGGAGAAUAAGCUCCGGCUAACUCCGUG